GCCCCGGUAGCUCAGUGGUAGAGCGAUUGUUUCGUAAACAAUAGGUCGAGGGUUCGAUUCCCUUUCGGGGCU
RNAcentral lists this transfer RNA (72 nucleotides) under Microcaldota archaeon. RNAcentral describes it as "tRNA-Thr". It matches the Rfam family "tRNA". From Rfam's summary of the family: Transfer RNA (tRNA) molecules are approximately 80 nucleotides in length. The record is from RNAcentral. Lineage: Archaea; Nanobdellati; Microcaldota.